Lates calcarifer (barramundi perch) is the source of this 1155-nucleotide long non-coding RNA. RefSeq lists it as uncharacterized. The transcript has 4 exons. The record is from RefSeq and is a predicted model, not a curated record. NCBI's taxonomy places the organism in Eukaryota, Metazoa, Chordata, Actinopteri, Centropomidae.
AUGGGUCAGAACCAACAUGGACGCGGAGCAAAAACCGUGCAGCCCAAAAUAACCUUACUCUGCACGUGGUCCAAGAGGCGCACACGGUCAUUAACGUUUCUGCUGGACAUACGGUGGAUCCGCAGAGUGGACCAGCUGGCAACAAAGACAAGAUCCAUGCUGCAAAGAUGCUGCAGUCUCAAGAGCUACUGACUGGACUGAGUGAAACACACGCCUGGCUGGAUGAACACACAUGGAGCAUGUUUCAGGAUAGUAAAUGGGGGGAGAAACCUGAGACUUGCAGGACAUGAGAAACAGAUGUUCCAUGCUUCUGUGUACAGACACCUUUUCUAGGAAAGAAGGGAAGAGGAAGGAUGAGAAAGACAGGACGAGAACAGAAAUCAUAUAUCUGGUAGAAUCCUGGAAAAAAGAUACAUGGGACUGGGGUAAAAACUUGUAUCUGCCCUGUGCAAAUACAACACAGGACCAGAAUCAGUCUGGGACAUAGUGAAGUCUAUGAGCAAGCUAAGGGGUUUUGUUCUGUAUCAUAUUUUAUUGUCAUAUAACUUGAUAAUUCACAUGCUUGACGAGCUUACUGUAUGUUUUGUGAUCUAGCUUGACUCUAAUUUUAUUCCAUCUAUCACACUACUGUAUGUCAUGUCUUAUUCAUGCAUAACAAUGUCCAUUUCAAUUUAUCAUUCUGGGUUAGCAUCGACCUCCUCGUGCUCCAGGCAGUGGUGUGGCAGAUGUGUGAAUGAAAUAAUUUUGCUAUUAUUUGAGUGAAAAUAGGCCAUUACAGCCUUUGUGAUGAAACAACAGGUCCUCUGUGAUAAUAAAAUACAUACAUCCCACUUAAACAAAGAAGACGGUUUUAGGAAUUUUGCAGUAUGUUUGCAAAAUAAAUGAGUAUCCCUCAAAAGGUUAAUCAUGAAUUAAAUUCAAUCCUAUCCUAAAAAAAAAAUCUAAUGGGGUAUCUCGGUGUGCUGGCGUUAGUGUAACAAUUAAUUAUUAUAAUUAUCAUAAUUGCCUGUGCAUGAAAGCAAGUGUAAGAAAAUCUCCCUUUUUGCAUGUUAAUACACAUUUUUCUGUCAUAACAUUCGACAAAUUACAGAUCUGUGUAGGUUUGGACUCAACUGCCAUUUUGUUUUCACUUGAGCAUUCAUUCUUGCAUUCUUU